AGUUAUUCACACAAAGGGUCUACACAUCUGUAUGUUGGACACAACUGACAAAUAUGUUUCAAUUCCCAUAGCCAUAAACAAAGGCGUUUCCUAUGGCAAGCAAAUUCGUAUUACUGUAUUGACUAUUUUCGAUUAGUGCAUGUAUUAUUAUAUGGCAAAACAGCAUUUUUUGUAUAAAUUGUUAUUUAGAAUUACAAAAAGAGCCCUAAAAUAGCAUUUUUCUACUAUGCAAACUGCAAAGCAAAACUGUU
This is a non-coding RNA of Pelobates cultripes (western spadefoot toad), 251 nucleotides long. NCBI's taxonomy places the organism in Eukaryota, Metazoa, Chordata, Amphibia, Anura, Pelobatidae. The record is from the annotation of a GenBank genome assembly.